Drosophila miranda is the source of this 2220-nucleotide long non-coding RNA. RefSeq lists it as uncharacterized. Lineage: Eukaryota; Metazoa; Arthropoda; Insecta; Diptera; Drosophilidae. The record is from RefSeq and is a predicted model, not a curated record. The transcript has 4 exons.
CACCACACUACCGUUUCCAGGAUUCCUCCGCCGAAACGGGAGUGCCAAACAGGCGGGAUUUUUCAAUUAAGGGGCCCCAAACGUAGGCCAUCGCCCACACCCUGAGAUUGAGAGUCUCUGGCUCCAUCGACUGAGAUGCCCGGGCUACUGCUUCAGAUCUUUUGCGUGAAACACCCCAAUACGUGAGCCUUGCAACGUCUCCAGCUCGUACAGACUGUUGCCCAUACUUCGGAUCACUCGGCACUUGACAUAUUUUGGGCUGAGCUUUGCGUUGAUGUUGGUUUUAAAUUUGCUCAACACGAAAUUCCGCUUAUAUACCUCCUGACCCGGCUUCAUGAGAGUUUCCUCGGACCUCAUCUCGGACUAUUUCCAUCUUGUCACUCCUCGCCAAGGGUGACAUUUGUGCAUCAUUUAGGGCGCCCAGUCUGCGUGCCAAUUUAUAAUCUCGGCCGCUAGUAAACAUGUGCUGCCCAAACAACACAAAGUAUGGCGACGUCCCGAUGCCCGUGUGUAUAGCGCUCCUAGCCACACACUGGAUCUCCGUCAGCUUCUCGUCCCAGCGCGUGUGAUCCUCACUAGCGUAUGUCCUUAUCGCCGCCAGUAUUGUCUGGUUCACUCGUUCGGCCGCGUUCGCCUGUGGUGCAUAGUUCCCCGACUUCAUGUGCGUUAUGCUUCUCCAGUCCAAGAAUUGCGAGAAUUCAGCUGACACAAACUGCUUUCCAUUAUCGGUGUGUACUAUUUCAGGCACGCCAAACUGCGCGAAGACCUAUGCGUGCAAGAAUCGGAUCACGACCGACGACGUCGCCUUAGGCAAAGCCUUCAACCAGACAUAUCUGGACAUGUGAUCGAGGACUAUUAGUAUGACUACAUUGCCACUUCGAGUCCUCGGAUAUGGACCAAGGAAAUCCAGGUACAGUUUUUGAAUCGGCCUCUCGGUUCUGGUUUCGGCCCCCAUGAGUGGACGGUGAACCUGUGUUGAAUGUUUUGUUUCUUUGCAGGUGUCACAAUCAGCCACAUAUGCCUUCACCUGCACGGUCAUCCGGGGCCAAUAAUAGAGCUGUCGCAGCCGUCCCAGUGUCCUCGCGAUUCCUCCAUGCAUUGCCACAUCGCUGUCGUGAGCCUGUUGGAUCAGUGUGUUCGUCAGGGCUUCCGGGAUCCAUAGCUUCCACGAAAACUCCUCUAAUUCCGGCCGGCCAAAUUGUGUGCGCUUAAACAGCAGUCCUUCCUCCACCUUCAGGUCUGGGAACUCAUCCUCAUCGCUCUGGACCGACUCGAUUUUCCUUCGGUAUUCUUCAUCCUCGAAGGCUGUGGUGUCGAACUUCAGGAAGUCGAUAGCGUCAGCGUCAAAGGGACGUGACAGCAUAUCGGCGACGAUAUUUUCCUUUCCUUUGCGGUGCUCAAUUUCAAAGUCAUAAGCCUGGAGAGCCAACGACCACCUGGCUAGCCUCCCAUCCAGUGCUUUGAAUCGCAUGAGCCACUGCAAACUCGCGUGAUCUGUUAUCACCGUGAAUGGCAUCAGUUCCACGUAUGCACGGAAUUUCUCGAUGGCUCUUACCGCCGCCAGAAACUCCUUCUCCGGUACGCUAUAAUUGAGCUGUGCCCCUCUUAGCUUCGCCGAAAAGAGUGCGAUUGGGUGCUCUGCUCCUUCAUCAUCCCUCUGGAAGAGAACUGCUCCAAUCCCCACGUGACUCGCAUCACACUGGAUAAAGAAGUGCUUCUUAAAGUCUGGGUGAUGUAGCACGGGGGCGCUGACAGUCUGUCAGAGGAGCCGAGAGUGCCGAGAAAUUUCGAAUAAACCGCCGAUACCAGCCAGCUGUCCCCAAAAAUCUCCGGAUUUGUCUCACGUUCCUUGGCAUUGGUAUUUGUGUGAUCGCCUGUACUUUCUCCGGAUCUGUCCUAAGUUUGCCUCCUCGAGACACUUGGCCACUUCCUCUAACAGGUGUAUAUGCUCCUUAAACGUCCGGGAAAUAACUAGUAGAUCGUCUAAGUAUACAAAGACAUGGCUUCGGAGUCGUUGUGGAAUUACUCGACCCAUCAACCGACACAGCCGUUGGGCUGCAUUGCACAACCCGAAGGGCAUCGAUUUAAAUUGAUAGAGUGGUCUGCCUGGCACCGUGAAUGCUGUGUACGUCCGACUUUCAGGCUCCAGCUCUAUCUGCCAAAAUGCGUGCUUUAAAUCGAUGCUGCUGAUGUACACCGUAUUCUCUACGCGGCUCAAAA